Non-coding RNA from Triticum aestivum (bread wheat), 115 nucleotides. The record is from Rfam. Lineage: Eukaryota; Viridiplantae; Streptophyta; Magnoliopsida; Poales; Poaceae.
UGAGUACUCCCUCCGUUCGGAAUUACUUGUCGCAGAAAUAGAUAUAUCUAGACAUAUUUUAGUUCUAGAUACAUCCAUAUCGAAGACAAGUAAUUCCAAACGGAGGGAGUACUAC